RNAcentral lists this ribosomal RNA (359 nucleotides) under uncultured Ureaplasma sp. Its description in RNAcentral is "bacterial SSU rRNA". It matches the Rfam family "Bacterial small subunit ribosomal RNA", at positions 184 to 524 of the family's 1533-position model. Lineage: Bacteria; Bacillati; Mycoplasmatota; Mycoplasmoidales; Mycoplasmoidaceae. The record is from RNAcentral.
UAUCGCAUGAGAAGAUGUAGAAAGUCGCUCUUUGUGGCGACGCUUUUGGGAUGAGGGGUGCGACGUAUCAGAUAGUUGGUGAGGUAAUGGCUCACCAAGUCAAUGACGCGUAGCUGUACUGAGAGGUAGAACAGCCACAAUGGGACUGAGACACGGCCCAUACUCCUACGGGAGGCAGCAGUAGGGAAUUUUUCACAAUGGGCGCAAGCCUUAUGAAGCAAUGCCGCGUGAACGAUGAAGGUCUUAUAGAUUGUAAAGUUCUUUUAUAUGGGAAGAAACGCUAAGAUAGGAAAUGAUUUUAGUUUGACUGUACCAUUUGAAUAAGUAUCGGCUAACUAUGUGCCAGCAGCCGCGGUAAU